This 348-nucleotide unclassified non-coding RNA is filed under the name soil metagenome. RNAcentral describes it as "partial contains 5.8S ribosomal RNA, internal transcribed spacer 2, and large subunit ribosomal RNA". The stretch from base 1 to 120 matches the Rfam family "5.8S ribosomal RNA", at positions 35 to 154 of the family's 154-position model. The record is from RNAcentral.
GAUGAAGAACGUAGCGAAAUGCGAUAAGUAAUGUGAAUUGCAGAAUUCAGUGAAUCAUCGAGUCUUUGAACGCACAUUGCGCCCCCUGGUAUUCCGGGGGGCAUGCCUGUCCGAGCGUCAUUGCUGCCCUCAAGCACGGCUUGUGUGUUGGGCCCCCGUCCCCGGUUUCCCCCGGGGACGGGCCCGAAAGGCAGCGGCGGCACCGCGUCCGGUCCUCGAGCGUAUGGGGCUUUGUCACCCGCUCUGUAGGCUCGGCCGGCGCCAGCCGACACCCAACUUUAUUUCUAAGGUUGACCUCGGAUCAGGUAGGGAUACCCGCUGAACUUAAGCAUAUCAAUAAGCGGAGGA